Molecule: ribosomal RNA, 513 nt
Filed under: uncultured bacterium
Lineage: Bacteria
Description: partial 16S ribosomal RNA
Rfam family: Bacterial small subunit ribosomal RNA
Source: RNAcentral
GAUGAACGCUGGCGGCGUGCCUAAUACAUGCAAGUCGAGCGAACAGACGAGGAGCUUGCUCCUCUGACGUUAGCGGCGGACGGGUGAGUAACACGUGGAUAACCUACCUAUAAGACUGGGAUAACUUCGGGAAACCGGAGCUAAUACCGGAUAAUAUAUUGAACCGCAUGGUUCAAUAGUGAAAGACGGUUUUGCUGUCACUUAUAGAUGCAUCCGCGCCGCAUUAGCUAGUUGGUAAGGUAACGGCUUACCAAGGCAACGAAGCGUAGCAGACCGGAGAGGGUGAUCGGCCACACUGGAACUGAGACACGGUCCAGACUCCGACGGGAGGCAGCAGUAGGGAAUCUUCCGCAAUGGGCGAAAGCCUGACGGAGCAACGCCGCGUGAGUGAUGAAGGUCUUCGGAUCGUAAAACUCUGUUAUUAGGGAAGAACAAAUGUGUAAGUAACUAUGCACGUCUUGACGGUACCUAAUCAGAAAGCCACGGCUAACUACGUGCCAGCCGCCGCGGUAA